This is a long non-coding RNA of Lutra lutra (Eurasian river otter), 777 nucleotides long. RefSeq lists it as uncharacterized. The transcript has 2 exons. NCBI's taxonomy places the organism in Eukaryota, Metazoa, Chordata, Mammalia, Carnivora, Mustelidae. The record is from RefSeq and is a predicted model, not a curated record.
UGUACUUUGGGGAAGUAAACCCCAAGCAACUAGGAGGUGGGCACCAGGGAGGCCAAGGGAGCCCCCGGCCAAUGGCAAAGCGGGAAGGAUCUGAUUGACGCGGGGGUUGGACUGCGCCAAGGAGACCGAGCCCCAGGGCCGCCGUGCCCUCUGGGGAUGUUCAGUGUCUCUUCUGGCCCAGGCUUCCGUCCUCUUUCCUUUCUUUCCCUCACUUGUUAGGUCUAGGCCCUGAGGCCUUUCUCGCACCUUUUCUGCAGCUCGGUACCCGGGAAACCAAGGGCGAAAGUUCCCGUUUUGUUUUGUUUUGUUUUGUUUUUUCUUUCUGUAGCAACUUUUUUAUUUCCAUGCGGCCACCUAAGAGCACUUGCUGGCUCUCACCAUUAGUCAGCACUAUUGUUGGACGACAGUUUAAGAGCAAGCGAGAGGGGAGAGUAGCGCCCGUCGUGUACCUGCGAUCGUGUAAAAAGGCCGCACGGGGAAGGUGCGGUUGAGUUUGAGAAUACGGAACUCGACCCUGCUGUUCGCGGCCGAGGGCCGGCUGGUGGGAGCCCGCUGAGUUCUUUCCCUUCUGUUGCUGCCAAGGAACCAUAGCCUGUAAGGUCUCCGCUCCGGUUGGUCCUUAAUGCAACAUCCUACAGGAAAUGACCCAGGUAUGGAGCUGUAUGGAUCUGCUCUCACAGCGGACUGUCGAGCAACCGUAGAGAAAAUGAGGUGGAUCUAUGCGUAGCUACAGAGUGAUCUGCAAAGGGCAGAAUCAUGGAAAGAGUAAAAAGCGGG